Molecule: long non-coding RNA, 139 nt
Organism: Perognathus longimembris pacificus (Pacific pocket mouse)
Lineage: Eukaryota; Metazoa; Chordata; Mammalia; Rodentia; Heteromyidae
Exons: 3
Source: RefSeq, a predicted model, not a curated record
GUUUACUCUUAGCUUCUAUACUCCAUUUUAGUGAUUCCAUGCUAGAGGGCUACACCCCCACCCUUGAGACUAGUUCCUCAUAGUUUGACACUUAAAAAUAUAUGUAGCCCUUGGUAGACUGGGAAAAAAAUUAAUGUUA